Molecule: ribosomal RNA, 428 nt
Filed under: uncultured bacterium
Lineage: Bacteria
Description: bacterial SSU rRNA
Rfam family: Bacterial small subunit ribosomal RNA
Source: RNAcentral
UGGGGAAUCUUGCGCAAUGGGCGAAAGCCUGACGCAGCGACGCCGCGUGGGUGAUGAAGGCCUUCGGGUUGUAAAGCCCUGUGGAGGGGGACGAAUAAGCCAUGGCUAACAUCCAUGGUGAUGACGGUACCCCUUUAGCAAGCACCGGCUAACUCUGUGCCAGCAGCCGCGGUAAGACAGAGGGUGCAAACGUUGUUCGGAAUUACUGGGCGUAAAGCGCGUGUAGGCGGCCUCGCAAGUCGGGUGUGAAAGCCCUGGGCUCAACCCAGGAAGUGCACUCGAUACUGCAAGGCUUGAGUUCCGGAGAGGAAAGCGGAAUUCUCGGUGUAGAGGUGAAAUUCGUAGAUAUCGAGAGGAACACCGGUGGCGAAGGCGGCUUUCUGGACGGCGACUGACGCUGAGACGCGAAAGCGUGGGGAGCAAACAGG